GUUCAAGGGUAUCUUUUCUUUUCCCUCAAUCUUCGUUUUUUUUUUUCUGUGAAAUUAGUUGUUCGUAAGAAAAAAAAUUCAUAAUUUCAUUAAAAAAAAAGAUGGCUAUUUCAGAAAAAAUCAUGAUCUCGAUAAUUACGCUGCCCGAUUUGUUGAUUUCACAUGUUGAUUAUUUUUUUUUUCAUCGGAUAUCGGAAAAACCCUUCAAAAAAGUUGAUUUUUUUAAACAUUAAGAUCAAUUGAUUAGGAAUGAUUUGUGUAUUUCUGAUAAUGAUAAUUGACCCCAAUUUUCAUGUAAUCAAAUUGGAUGGCUUCUUCUUCUUAGUGUUGUGGAUUAUUGUUAUGAAAUGUUGGUAUAAUAAUAAAAGCUGGGAAAAGUGUCGAUGAUUGAGCGCGGUUUCAGUUCUAAUUAUUAAUUUUGCAUUUGCACCAUGUUUAAUUGCUCUUAAAAUUGGAGAUUAUAUAUAUAAAAAAAACCUAGCUAUAUGUUUUUCUUUUCAGGUUCUUGUUGGUUUAUUUAUAUGCACAAACAAUUGAUAGUAAACAUAUACUCCUACGAAAUAACGGCAAGAAGCCAUAAUCCACUAAUAAAAACUUAACUACUUGAGUGUCUUUCAUUCCCUUGAUUUCAAGCGUUUAACAUUCUUGAUUGUGUUUCUCAGUAUUAUGAUAUUCCUGAUACAGAACGCUCAGAUGAUGAGAUCAACAUGCUUCGCCAGAUUGCCGUUGAUUGUCCAAGAACUGUACCUGAGGUUCCCUUCUUCCAGCAACCACGAGUUCAGAAAUCACUGGAGCUUAUUCUUUACGCAUGAUGAAUGAUGGUUGGGUUGGUUUGGUUUGGAAAAGGCACCUGAUGGAUCUUUCAAGAAGAAGAUUCUGGAUUAGGGGUAUGGCUUUUGUCUAGGGUUAAGCCAUCAGAGAUUUUUUUGAAAUCUAUAUCAAAGGAAGUUACUGGUGUUGAAGUCAUUUACCCAUCAAGGUUAUUAUGUUUUCAUCAAGGUCCGAUGAAUAAAUCAAUCUAAAUAGGAAAUUAGCCAAGGAAUUGGUUGAUAAAUGGAGCCGACCUUUAUUUAAUAAGAGUACUCGGUUUGAAGACAUGCAAAAUAGUGAGGAUGAUAGGGUUCCUUAAAAGCCAGCAAAUACAGCUGCAGGGAUGGCAUCUAGAGAUGGUGAUCUUGAUUUGAAUCUUUCACAGCCUAGGUCUGGAAAGUUGUCUACCAGACAAAUUACAUCAAGGCCAGAAGCAAAACCUUUGGAUUUUGUGAUCCGCCCCCAGUCUAAAAUUGAUCCUGGUGAAAUUAGAGCACAUGCAAAACAAUAUGAAUAAGAAAUUGCAGCAGUUGAGGGCUCCAAAAAAGAAGCAGCUUCAAGCUACAAAGCUGAGUGUGGAAUGUCGUGGUAUGGUCAAAUACUUAUGAAUGCGGCUAAUAUUGCUUUUUAGGGGAGUGUGGAUAUGUAUUUAUGGUCACUACUAUUUUAUAAGGAUGACUACAUCACCAUUGCUACUUUUUAGGAAGUCUUGAGCAUCCAAUCCUAUAUUUUUGCAUAACUCCUUCACUAAUCCACGCAUAUUUUCUCAUUGAUCAAAUACACCAAUCUUCUAAUUUUCUUUUCUAUUCAUCUCCUCUGCGUUUUGUCUAUCCUAUCUCAACACUGUCUUCUUCUAACCCUUCAUUUUCCAUAUGGCAUCCUAUCUCACAUAAUUAAAUGACUAAUGGGAAAUUUAACAUGGAUAUAAGGAUCAGUGAUAUAGCUUCUUGACAAAAAGCUCAAAAGCAUUUCCAAUCCUCCAUAUCAUGAAUAUUCUUGCAAGAAUGUCUUAUCAUGAGUGAAUACAUUAUCUUAUAGCGUCUCAAUAUGAAUUAAUCAAGUAACAAGGUCACCAAUUUCUUAAUAUAACUCACCUCUUUUAUGAUGUUGAAUAUUGAUUCAAAUCUAACAACUUUAGUUACCUGCUGCAAGGGUUUAAUAUGAGCUCUUACAAGUCAUUAAUUAUUUUGGAUUGGGUCCCUUUUAUAUUUUCUUUUCUACAUGGUGUGCUAUUGAAUUGUUUGAUCUUAUGAUUCUAGAUCCUAUGGUAAGGCUGCUAUAAAAUGCUAUGGAAGUGUUAAUUAUGAAGGAGAGUAAGCUUAUAUCUGAUAUGCAUUUGAAUUCAUCACUUAAUGUCAUGUUUAUGCUCUAUUAUGUUUUCUAUUUGCCUCUUUGAUCUGUCAUCACUUAAUGUCAUGUCUAUUAUGCUCUAUUAUCUUAUGUUUGCUUAGAACAUGUUUGUUAUUGUUAUAACCAUAGCUAUCACUAAUUAGGUGCAUACUACUCUUAGAUGGAAUGAAAGAUUUGGUGAAAUUUGUGAAGGCAGUAGCUUUAUUCAUUAAUUUUUUUGGACCGUGUCCCUUUUAAAAUUUCUUUUCUACAUAGCGUGCUAUUGAAUUGUUUGAUCUAUUGAUUGAUUCUGUGGCGUAUGGUAAGGCUGCUAUAAAAUGAUAUGGAAGUGUUACUUAUGAAGGAGAGUAAUCUCCCAGUGUGAUAAUGAAGUUUGCACUCUGAUUGGUCCAUGCUUCAAAUCUUUGCAUAAGCACUAUCCAGGCAUCAAGUGGCAUGAUUGUAGAUGCAAAUGCAACGCAAGAUGAACUGAUAUCUACUCCUACUAUUUUCAUCACCAAAUGGUUUUGGAGGAGUAUCUGCGCAUUUUGAUGUUCCUUUGUUCAGUGACGAACACACAGUCGGUUUCAAGGCCACGAUGACUUUUUAUACUUUAUCUCCAUGUUCUCUACAGCAGAUCAUCCCAACAAAUAAAGGAUGGAUUAGCUUGAAAGUUUUAAUUAUCUGUGUUAUAAGAGAGUAUUAUAGUAUGGGGAAAUAUUGGUGGUGUUUGAUAUAGGUUACCUGGUUAUGCCUUUUUUCCUUUUUAAAUGCUAUAGUUUUGUUUGGUCGGUGGAAUGAGAUUUUUAUUGAGCAUGACUUAAGUGGUGGGGAUUGAAACAUAAAUGAAAAACUUCUAUAUACACCAUGCAUGUUCUCAUUUAAACUAAUGAGGUGAUAAGUACAAGCAAUACUAAUGAGGUAAAUUUUUUGUCACAUAGCAGCAACGUGGUUCUAUUUGUAACAUUUGAACAUCAUAAUUGUCUUGGCAAAAUUAGCAGUUUUAUUGUGUGAAUUAUAUUAUUUUUUCUGACUUAUAUUGAAAUUUAUUUUUUAACAAUUAAGAUUAUUUUUUCUACUUGAUUGCUUGCUUUUUAGAUGUUAGUUAUUCUUGAUUUGAUUAUCCAUUUGAUUUUCUCCAUGACUAUGGAUAAACUAUGUUCAAUAUAGCUAUGUUUACAUUGUUGCACGUUGUGGAAUUGAAACCAAUGACAAAUCAUGCUGGUAAUAUUCAAUAUAGUUAUCUUUUUAUCUCAGAUAAAAUGAAUUUCCAAAU
Long non-coding RNA from Trifolium pratense (red clover), 3415 nucleotides. RefSeq lists it as uncharacterized. NCBI's taxonomy places the organism in Eukaryota, Viridiplantae, Streptophyta, Magnoliopsida, Fabales, Fabaceae. The transcript has 15 exons. The record is from RefSeq and is a predicted model, not a curated record.